UUUGGGGAGGCAUAAGAGGUGUGGCCUGUGUCACUGGGGGUGGGCUUUAAAAGCUUAAAAACUUGUACUAUUCAGAGUUUCCUUUCUGUGCCUGUUUCCUGUUUGUGGUUUGCAAACACACAACCUCAACCUUUAUCAAUCAGCUCCAGCCACCGUGCCUGCUUCCUGCCUUGGUGCCAUGCUUCCCCACCAAGAUGAUGAUGGACGUUUGCCCUCUGAAACCAUGAGCCACAAGUUUUUAUUAAGACCAAUGAGGAUUCGUUCUACAUGUCCGUGAGUACAUCAAAGCAAGAGAUGGAAUUGGUCUCCUCACAGUCUUCAGCAGGACCAGCAUCCCAUGCAGAAAAGGUGAUCUACCAUGCAGGCCUCCCUGAAGGCUAGGCAGGCAGCAAGGAUUCAGAGGACAGGAGGAAGACUGUGGUUCUGAGUGACAGCAAUUCCAAUCUUACUGAGGACUUUUUUAGUUUUUGUGGAUCAGACCGACUUGCCAACCUGCCAGAGAUCUCGGAGCAGGAGUCUGCCCAACUCACCACUUCCUGACUGUUUUACACAAUAAACACCUAUUCAGUGUUGGAUGGACGAACUUCAUGCCGGAAGUCGGAUCAUGGGACAUCAAGCGAUGCUUAGACAAUGCUUGGCAUCUAUACUCAUGCUAA
Non-coding RNA from Peromyscus maniculatus bairdii (prairie deer mouse), 656 nucleotides. The record is from RefSeq and is a predicted model, not a curated record. Lineage: Eukaryota; Metazoa; Chordata; Mammalia; Rodentia; Cricetidae.